UCUUAACAGAACCCUUCGGGGCGAAGAUAAGACGGAUUAGCGGCGGACGGGUGAGUAACACGUGAGUAACCUGCCUUUUACACAGGGAUAGCCUCGGGAAACCGGGAUUAAAACCUGAUGAAACUAUCAAAUCACAUGAUUAAGAAAGUUAAAACUCCGGUGGUAAAAGAUGGACUCGCGUCCCAUUAGCUAGUUGGUGAAGGUAACGGCCCACCAAGGCAACGAUGGGUAGCCGGCCUGAGAGGGUGAACGGCCACAUUGGAACUGAGAAACGGUCCAAACUCCUACGGGAGGCAGCAGUGGGGAAUAUUGCACAAUGGGGGAAACCCUGAUG
RNAcentral lists this ribosomal RNA (334 nucleotides) under uncultured bacterium. RNAcentral's name for it is "bacterial SSU rRNA". It matches the Rfam family "Bacterial small subunit ribosomal RNA", at positions 66 to 388 of the family's 1533-position model. The record is from RNAcentral.